AUGUGGAUCAAGAUGAUGAUCACCAGCCGGUGGCGGCUGCUAGUGGCGGUGGCGAUGGUGGUGGCAAUGGCGGGAGCUCCGGCGACAGUGUGCGGGAGGGACCUGAACCAGACUAUGACGGUGCAGGUGACGCAGCAGCAGGGGAGUAGUAAUAAGAAGCCGCUGGUGACGGCGCUGAUCGUGUUCGGGGACUCGAUCGUGGACCCCGGCAACAACAACAACCUGCCGGCGACGAGGAUGAAGGCCAACCACGCGCCCUACGGCAAGGACUUCGCCGGCCACGUCGCCACCGGACGCUUCUCCAACGCGCUCCUGCCACCCGACCUCAUCGCUCGGAGGCUUAACUUGAAGCCACUUCUUGGCCCAUGGCUGAACGUGGAGCACACGCCGGAGGACCUGCUCACCGGCGUCAGCUUCGCGUCGGGUGCCACCGGGUUCGACCCGCUGACCCCGCAGAUCGUGAACGUGUACACCAUGGACCAGGAGCUGGAGUUCUUCGACGAGUACCGGCGCAGGCUGGUGGGCAUCGUGGGGGAGGCCGAGACGCGCCGCAUCAUCGCCGGCGCCUUCUUCUUCGUCGUCACCGGGACCGACGACUUCGCCAACACCUACUUCAUGACGCCCUACCGCGCCGGCGACUACGACAUCCCGGCCUACGUGGACCUCCUCCUCGUCGGCGCCGAGGCAUUCCUCCGCAACACCAGCGCGCGGGGCGCCCGGAAGAUGGGCUUCACGGGGAUGCCGCCCAUCGGGUGCGUCCCCUCGCAGCGAACCAUCGGCGGCGGGCCGCGGCGCCGCUGCGAGGCCCGCCGGAACUACGCCGCGCUCAUGUACAACAAGGCGCUGCAGCAGCUCAUCGACCGGCUCAACGCCGACCCCACGUUCCACACCCUCGUCGUCUACUUCGACAUCUACGACAUCAUCGAGGAGCUGGCCGUGCACGGCGACCGGUGGGGGUUCACGGAGCUCACGCACGGCUGCUGCGGCUCCGGGCUCAUCGAGGUCACCAUGCUCUGCGACACCAGGUACAUGGGGGUGUGCGACGACGUGGACAAGCACGUCUUCUUCGACAGCUACCACCCCACGCAGAGGGCGUAUGAGAUCAUCGUCGACCACAUCUUCAAGAACUAUGUGCCCCUCAUGCAUCUCUGA
This 1152-nucleotide ribosomal RNA is filed under the name Triticum aestivum (bread wheat). RNAcentral's name for it is "partial small subunit ribosomal RNA". The record is from RNAcentral. Lineage: Eukaryota; Viridiplantae; Streptophyta; Magnoliopsida; Poales; Poaceae.